This 234-nucleotide ribosomal RNA is filed under the name uncultured bacterium. RNAcentral's name for it is "partial 16S ribosomal RNA". It matches the Rfam family "Bacterial small subunit ribosomal RNA", at positions 28 to 259 of the family's 1533-position model. The record is from RNAcentral.
GACGAACGCUGGCGGCGUGCUUAACACGUGCAAGUCGAGCGGAAAAGCCCCUUUGGGGGUACGUCGAGCGGCGAACGGGUGAGUAACACGUGAGUAACCUGCCCCUGACUUCGGGAUAAGCCUGGGAAACUGGGUCUAAUACCGGGAUAUGACCAUUUCGGGCAUCCGAUGGUGGUGGAAAGUUUUUUCGGUUGGGGAGUGGGCUCGCGGCCGUAUCAGCUUGUUGGUGGGGUA